This 299-nucleotide ribosomal RNA is filed under the name Pseudomonas fluorescens. RNAcentral's name for it is "partial 16S ribosomal RNA". It matches the Rfam family "Bacterial small subunit ribosomal RNA", at positions 236 to 527 of the family's 1533-position model. Lineage: Bacteria; Pseudomonadati; Pseudomonadota; Gammaproteobacteria; Pseudomonadales; Pseudomonadaceae. The record is from RNAcentral.
UCGGAUUAGCUAGUUGGUGAGGUAAUGGCUCACCAAGGCGACGAUCCGUAACUGGUCUGAGAGGAUGAUCAGUCACACUGGAACUGAGACACGGUCCAGACUCCUACGGGAGGCAGCAGUGGGGAAUAUUGGACAAUGGGCGAAAGCCUGAUCCAGCCAUGCCGCGUGUGUGAAGAAGGUCUUCGGAUUGUAAAGCACUUUAAGUUGGGAGGAAGGGUUGUAGAUUAAUACUCUGCUGUUUUGACGUUACCGACAGAAUAAGCACCGGCUAACUCUGUGCCAGCAGCCGCGGUAAUACA